Molecule: ribosomal RNA, 665 nt
Filed under: uncultured Bacilli bacterium
Lineage: Bacteria; Bacillati; Bacillota; Bacilli
Description: bacterial SSU rRNA
Rfam family: Bacterial small subunit ribosomal RNA
Source: RNAcentral
GCACAGUUUAUACCGUAGCUUGCUACACCAUAGACUGUGAGUUGCGAACGGGUGAGUAACGCGUAGGUAACCUGCCUAUUAGAGGGGGAUAACUAUUGGAAACGAUAGCUAAUACCGCAUAACAGUAUGUAACACAUGUUAGACGCUUAAAAGAUGCAAUUGCAUCGCUAGUAGAUGGACCUGCGUUGUAUUAGCUAGUAGGUAGGGUAAAGGCCUACCUAGGCAACGAUACAUAGCCGACCUGAGAGGGUGAUCGGCCACGCUGGGACUGAGACACGGCCCAGACUCCUACGGGAGGCAGCAGUAGGGAAUCUUCGGCAAUGGGGGGAACCCUGACCGAGCAACGCCGCGUGAGUGAAGAAGGUUUUCGGAUCGUAAAGCUCUGUUGUUAAGGAAGAACGAGUGUGAGAAUGGAAAGUUCAUGCUGUGACGGUAACUUAACCAGAAAGGGACGGCUAACUACGUGCCAGCAGCCGCGGUAAUACGUAGGUCCCGAGCGUUGUCCGGAUUUAUUGGGCGUAAAGCGAGCGCAGGCGGUUAGAAAAGUCUGAAGUGAAAGGCAGUGGCUCAACCAUUGUAGGCUUUGGAAACUGUUUAACUUGAGUGCAGAAGGGGAGAGUGGAAUUCCAUGUGUAGCGGUGAAAUGCGUAGAUAUAUGGAGGAAC